GAGAACAGCGUGGCUGUUCUUGCUACCACCUUGCCCCCCUUCUUGCUCAAAGCACUAUAUUUAGGGCAGAAAGAAAGGAAUGGAAAGAGGGAAAGGUAGUGUUUCAAUGCAAUCAUCUUCCUUUUAUGGGAGAUCUACCCAUGACUUUUAUGCAUGUCUCCUUGGCCAGAACACAGUUAUCUGACCAUCCCCACAUGCAUGGGAAGUAACAAAAUGGAGUUGUUGAGGUGGAUUCAUUGCCAUCCUGAGUAUCAAACUGGGGUUCUGUUAGCAAGGCACUAGGGCCAUAGGAAUAAAAAAAAAUUAAUGAGUUAAACAUUCAGAAAAUAUUUAUUGAAUGCUGUGUGCAAAAUGUGUAAGAGUUCUUCCUCAAGUGGCUUCCCUUUCUUUACUUUACAGCCUUCUUCCAACUGGAUCAUGUCCUUCCCUAGGUAAAAUUGUAAAUUGCUUAUGGAGUAAUUUACAAUUAUUACAUUUAGUAUGGGUUACUUACUUACUGCCCUAAGUGCUGAAUUUCCAUUAUUGCAUUUGGCCUUAACACCCUCAGGGUCCGGCACUGUUUUGUCCAUUUUACAGGUAAAGAAACUGGGGCACAGAGAGGUUAGGUCUCUUACCUGGUGACACACAGCUAGUGAUACUCUUUUCAGUGCUCUCAACUUCUUUUUUUGGCUCUCUCCACCCUAUUCAGACCUUACCUUCUUCAAAGCCGUUUACCUUUUGGUGCCUUUUCAUACCAGUUCAUUUCCUGAAUUAAAAUUAAUACCUCCCUACUUAAAGGAAAGGUGCUUCAUCCCUUUUUUAAAACUUAUCUAGGAUUUACAUUUUCUAAGAGAAUUUACAUUUUAAUAGGCUCAUUUUAUGUGAGAAUGGUGGAUCCAAAGUAAUGAAUUUUCAAGAGUAAGAAUUCCACCUGCUACAUGGAAGUGGGAAGCACUGGGUGAUGUCAGUCAAGGGAUUCCAGUGAAGAGGAAGUUGACAUUAUGGGAAAGAUUGUGUCAGGCAAAUUUCUGUUGGGCCAACUCAUCCUUGUGGGAAAGACAGAGUGAAAGAGAAAGAAAUGAUUUAGAUGAGUAUGGACAAUUUGCCUUUCAUUUGGUGCCAACCCAAUGUGAACAGGAGAGGGAGGACAUGACUCUCCUGCUUCUUGUUAGUUUCAGCUUCUGAUCCCUCUGGUAGUGUGGGCUUCUUGUCAUGUGAUUGGGAUGCUGGUGAUUAAAGAUUCACACUCUUAAUGCAUCGUGGCCCUUUGGUGCAAGCUGGUAACUUUCUCUAGUACUCAACUGUUUGUUUCAAAACUAGAGUCUAGUGUCUGUUUCAAAACUGGAGGAAAACGGGUUUGGAUAGACUAGGAGAGAUAGUUGUUUUUCUUUAAGAUGGUACCUCUCUCAAAUGCAUUGAGAAGAUUAAUUUCCCUCUACAUCAGGCUUUCUCAGCCUCAGCACUGUUGACAUUUUGGAAUGGAUAAUUUUCUUUUAUGGAGGGCUGUCUUCUGCAUUGUAAGGUAUGUAGCAGCAUCCCAAUCUCUACCCAGUGGAUUCUGGUUGUGACAACCAGAAAUAUCUUUGGGCAUUGCCACAUGUUCUCUAGGGGACAAAUCACCCCUGGUUGAGAAGUACUGCUCUACUUGACCUUAACUUGUGUACUGACUUCAAAACCUAAGCCCUGCCUAAGAUGUAACUCCAGUGCAUAUUCUUUGUAGCUUUAUUGAGAUACAAUUAAUAUAUAACAUUCCUAGUCCAUAUCUAUGAGACACCUGUAAAACUGCCCUGACUGCGUUAUUUGGGGCUGAGAAAUACCAUGUCUUACAGACAGUUAGACUCUACCUGUAACAUUCCAUUAAAUAUUUAUUGUGAUAGCCAUGUGCAAAGUGCUGAACAAAGGCCUGUGUAUAGCUGGGCAAAUCAUAGAUAUCAUUUUUUGCCCUCAUGAAGCUUCUACUCCACCUCUUUGUGCUCAUGAAGCAUUAAACAUUAAGUCAUAUAUUUUAUUAAAUCAGUAAGUGCUCUAACAGAAGAACAGGAUGGACUGACCAAGCUGAGGGGAUGAGAGAAGGUGAUGUUUAGUCAUUUAAUCUGAAAGAUAACCAGAUGACAGGGAGAAGAGUAUCCUGGGCAGAGGCAAAAGCAUAUACAAAGGCCCUGAGGCAGGAAGACAUGUAACAUAUUUGAUAGACAAAACCAGGGAUGCUGACACAAAGAAAAUAAGGCAAAGAGUACGGGAGAUGAAGUGGAGGAAUAUCUGGGCUAGACUGUUUUGCAGAUUUAGGAUUUUUAUCUUAAAAAUAGUGGGAAGCCAUUGAAUGAUUUUACACAGGGGUAUUCUAAGAUUCAAUUUGUGCUAUAAAAGGUCAGUCUGUAUCUGUCUAGGUCCAGAAAGCACAGGUUUCUCUCCAGACCAUGAGGGAUUGAUCUCACCCCAUGCCAGGCAACUCUGAUGGAGUCUUUUGAGGUUAUCACUACUGCUAGUGCCUGUACCCAUCCUCCAGCCAUCCCAAUUUGGAACCUUUUAAAACUUUAAAUAAAAGAAGCAGUUCCUGUUCGUGUUCUCUCUUUGUUCUCCUUUAAACCAUGAUUGAAGCUGGGCUCAGAUAUCUGAAAACCCCAGAGAAGAAAAUGAUUUCCAUAGCAGCUGUAACCAUGGGAAACCUUCAGAAUAGCUCCCAUUCCUAUAUUCCACACUGUUCUAUUGGUCGGCGAGAAAUGAGGGCUUGCAUUUUAGUGUUCUUUUUUGUUGAAAUCCAUGUAGAUGAGAGUCUUCCUCUCCCUUCCACAUACAUCUUAUCAUAGCUUGAGCAUCAAAGGAUGGCAUAUUUGGGGUGAAGAAGACACACUUGUUCAUAAGCUAGAGAAACUCAAGUGCAAUGUUGUUUUAGAAGCUGAGAUCUCAGGUUUCUUUUCCUGUUGCUUGUUUUCUCUCAGGUGGCAUGAUAGGAUCAAUUUCAAGUUCAUCUUUGAGAGGUAUCAGGAGCAAACACUUUUGUUUUUUCUUUUUGUGACACCUAAAAGUGGUGUUCAUCAAUUUCCCUUCUGUUUUGCAGAAACAAAUGAGCCCCCUGUCAUAAAAAUCAGGACUGUGGGGUUGGGGAGAUGGGGACUGAAUCUCUAGUCCAGUGCCUGUUUUUAGGAUGGGCAGAGGGCAAACAUGAGCUGGUCACUGUUUCUCUUAAUGAACAGAUUUUAAUGAAAUGAAGACAUGGCAACGACAAUGAAUCAGAAGUUACUGUGGCAAAAGCUAGUAAGGAGACUGGAAUACAUGAGUAUAGUGAUUGCUUUUGGAAUUUGGCCAGGCCACUGGGAGAGGCUCAGGAAGAAAGUUGAGAAAGGAAAUAAGAACUUUAGUCAAGUCCGUUGUGUGCUUUCUCAUUUCCAAAAUGUUUGAAAACCAUGUUGAGAAAUGCAUUGCUUAAGUUAAAACAUCUGCUGGCAACUUUUAUGUUCAUAGCUUCCCUGGGUCACCACAGAUAACAGGGGAACUUCUCCAAGGCCUCUGCAUGUACAAUUGAGAACUGGGGGAUUUCCUUCAUGCAACAUCCUUAUCCUGAUGGGACGACAUCCUUUUACCACCAGAACUCACUGUAUAAAAAGAAAUAAUGACUAUUGUGGAGCUGGACUUACCAUCUUUUGUUGUACUUUGAGGUUUAUGUUUUCAAACAAGGUACUCAGGACCUGGCAUUCAGUUAGUAAGAAUCAUGAUGCUGGAAUUUAAGAGAUUUACCCCAGUUGAAGAGCUUGGCCUGGCCUUGCAGAAUUUUCCCAGUGACUUUCAUGUGCCUGAUUCAACUAUACUUGUAAAAGUUAAAUAAGAUGACCUAUUCAGUUUACCUAGCCUAUGCUCCAUAAAUGCCAAUUCCCUUCUCUUGUUCAAGUUUUAUAAGUGCAAUUUUCAAGAAAGACAGUUAAGUCUGACUGCACCAUGUUGGGUGUGGGUAUGUUGAGCUACCACCCACAGCCUCAUGAACAUGUUCCGUGAACAUGUACUGUAUAAUCGAAUUGUGAGGCCUGGCAUGGUAGUGACAGUUCUUCAGUGUCUUUUGCUUGCAGUCAAGAUUGGUGAGCUGUGAAGCAGUCCUCUCAGUCUCCAGAGUGAGGCACUGGACAGUUUGCCUUGCUAGUAGGCUCUGGCCUCUUUGAAGCCAUGAAGAUUGGUCAAUUACCUAAGGUGCUAUUGCCCAUACUUUAAAAACUCACUUUACCAGAAUCUGCCUGUUAAUAUGUUCUUCCUGUUGAGAAGUCAUUAGUUGCUACAUAUUAAUAACAAAAGCCUCUUAUCCUUUAGACUAUGAUUUGGCUCAUGGAAAAUGUUUCAAUAUGUAUCCAUCUUUCAAGGGCAUUUUGAGGAAUUUCUAAAUUCAAGACUUCCUUU
Phyllostomus discolor (pale spear-nosed bat) is the source of this 4362-nucleotide long non-coding RNA. RefSeq lists it as uncharacterized. The record is from RefSeq and is a predicted model, not a curated record. NCBI's taxonomy places the organism in Eukaryota, Metazoa, Chordata, Mammalia, Chiroptera, Phyllostomidae. The transcript has 2 exons.